Molecule: unclassified non-coding RNA, 240 nt
Filed under: soil metagenome
Description: partial contains 5.8S ribosomal RNA, internal transcribed spacer 2, and large subunit ribosomal RNA
Source: RNAcentral
AAGACUAUAGACCUGCGGAGUACCUGCGGAAGGAUCAUUACAUGGCGGAGAAGGUGGGCAACCUGGCCAACAUCCAGGUUGUGAUGCCUUCACGCUCUUCCACCCUUGUCUAUUUGCACCUUCUGUCGUUCCCUCGGCGGGUUUCGACCCGCCGGCGGCAACAUUGAAAAACCCUUUUUGCAGUUAGCAUUCAAUUCUUCUGAUCAAAAUAUCAAAUCGUUACAACUUUUAACAACGGAU